Molecule: ribosomal RNA, 253 nt
Filed under: uncultured bacterium
Lineage: Bacteria
Description: partial 16S ribosomal RNA
Rfam family: Bacterial small subunit ribosomal RNA
Source: RNAcentral
UACGGGGGGGGCAAGCGUUGUUCGGAAUUACUGGGCGUAAAGGGCUCGUAGGCGGCCAACUAAGUCAGACGUGAAAUCCCUCGGCUUAACCGGGGAACUGCGUCUGAUACUGGAUGGCUAGAGGUUGGGAGAGGGAUGCGGAAUUCCAGGUGUAGCGGUGAAAUGCGUAGAUAUCUGGAGGAACACCGGUGGCGAAAGCGGCAUCCUGGACCAAUUCUGACGCUGAGGAGCGAAAGCCAGGGGAGCAAACGGG